This 255-nucleotide ribosomal RNA is filed under the name uncultured bacterium. RNAcentral's name for it is "partial 16S ribosomal RNA". It matches the Rfam family "Bacterial small subunit ribosomal RNA", at positions 524 to 776 of the family's 1533-position model. The record is from RNAcentral.
UACGUAGGUGACAAGCGUUUGUCCGGAUUUACUGGGCGUAAAGAGCGCGCAGGCGGUCGUUCAAGUCGAGUGUGAAAGCCCCCGGCUCAACUGGGGAGGGUCAUUCGAUACUGAUCGACUCGAAGGCAGGAGAGGGAAGUGGAAUUCCCGGUGUAGUGGUGAAAUGCGUAGAUAUCGGGAGGAACACCAGUGGCGAAGGCGGCCCCCUGGUUGGGAUACUGACGCUGAGACGCGAAAGCGUGGGGAGCAAACAGG